Molecule: ribosomal RNA, 485 nt
Filed under: uncultured bacterium
Lineage: Bacteria
Description: partial 16S ribosomal RNA
Rfam family: Bacterial small subunit ribosomal RNA
Source: RNAcentral
ACUCAAAUGAAUAGACGGGGACCCGCACAAGCAGAGGAUGAUGUGGUUUAAUAUGACGCUACGCGUAGAACCUUACCAAGGCUUGACAUCCCUAGAACCCCCUGGAAACAGGGGGGUGUCUUCGGAAGCUAGGUGACAGGUGCUGCAUGGCCGUCGUCAGCUCGUGUCGUGAGAUGUUGGGUUAAGUCCCGCAACGAGCGCAACCCUUAUCGUAUGUUGUAUUUUUCAUGCGAGACUGCCCGGGCCAACCGGGAGGAAGGUGGGGAUGACGUCAGGUCGGCAUGGCCCUUACGCCUUGGGCUACUCACGUCAUACAAUGGCCAGUACAACGCGCUGCGAAACCGCGAGGUGGAGCUAAUCGCAUCAAAACUGGUCUCAGUUCGGAUUGGAGGCUGCAACUCGCCUCCAUGAAGUCGGAUUUGCUAGUAAACGUGGGUCAGCAUACCACGUUGAAUACGUUCCCGGGUCUUGCACACACCGCCCGU